Molecule: ribosomal RNA, 391 nt
Filed under: uncultured bacterium
Lineage: Bacteria
Description: bacterial SSU rRNA
Rfam family: Bacterial small subunit ribosomal RNA
Source: RNAcentral
GAUGAACGCUGGCGGCGUGCUUAACACAUGCAAGUCGAACGGUGAAGGAGGAGCUUGCUCUUCUGGAUCAGUGGCGAACGGGUGAGUAACACGUGAGCAAUCUGCCCUUGACUCUGGGAUAACAGUUGGAAACAGCUGCUAAUACCGGAUACGAGACGUGACCGCAUGGUCAACGUUUGGAAAGAACUUCGGUCAAGGAUGAGCUCACGGCCUAUCAGCUAGUUGGUGAGGUAAUGGCUCACCAAGGCGACGACGGGUAGCCGGCCUGAGAGGGUGACCGGCCACACUGGGACUGAGACACGGCCCAGACUCCUACGGGAGGCAGCAGUGGGGAAUAUUGCACAAUGGGCGAAAGCCUGAUGCAGCAACGCCGCGUGAGGGACGACGGCCU